GAUGAACGCUGGCGGCGUGCCUAAUACAUGCAAGUCGAGCGAACAGACGAGGAGCUUGCUCCUCUGACGUUAGCGGCGGACGGGUGAGUAACACGUGGAUAACCUACCUAUAAGACUGGGAUAACUUCGGGAAACCGGAGCUAAUACCGGAUAAUAUAUUGAACCGCAUGGUUCAAUAGUGAAAGACGGUUUUGCUGUCACUUAUAGAUGGAUCCGCGCCGCAUUAGCUAGUUGGUAAGGUAACGGCUUACCAAGGCGACGAUGCGUAGCCGACCUGAGAGGGUGAUCGGCCACACUGGAACUGAGACACGGUCCAGACUCCUACGGGAGGCAGCAGUAGGGAAUCUUCCGCAAUGGGCGAAAGCCUGACGGAGCAACGCCGCGUGAUUGAUGAAGGUCUUCGGAUCGUAAAACUCUGUUAUUAGGGAAGAACAAAUGUGUAAGUAACUAUGCACGUCUUGACGGUACCUAAUCAGAAAGCCACGGCUAACUACGUG
This 497-nucleotide ribosomal RNA is filed under the name uncultured bacterium. Its description in RNAcentral is "partial 16S ribosomal RNA". It matches the Rfam family "Bacterial small subunit ribosomal RNA", at positions 28 to 507 of the family's 1533-position model. The record is from RNAcentral.